Molecule: ribosomal RNA, 372 nt
Filed under: uncultured organism
Description: bacterial SSU rRNA
Rfam family: Bacterial small subunit ribosomal RNA
Source: RNAcentral
CGUAGGGCCCGAGCGUUAUCCGGUAUUAUUGGGCGUAAAGAGUACGUAGGCGGUCUUGUAAGACAAUGGUUAAAUCUCCGAGCUCAACUCGGAACCUGCCGUUGUUACUGCAAGACUAGUCGAUAGCAGGGGCAAGCGGAAUUCUCGGUGUAGGAGUGAAAUCCGUUGAGAUCGAGAAGAACACCAAUGGCGAAGGCAGCUUGCUAGGUUAUUUGAGACGCUGAGGUACGAAAGCGUGGGGAGCGAACGGGAUUAGAUACCCCGGUAGUCCACGCCGUAAACGAUGCAUACUAGCUAUCAGAAGUAUCGACCCUUCUUGUAGCGUAGCUAACGCGUUAAGUAUGCCGCCUGGGAAGUACGGUCGCAAGACUA